Molecule: long non-coding RNA, 446 nt
Filed under: Columba livia (rock pigeon)
Lineage: Eukaryota; Metazoa; Chordata; Aves; Columbiformes; Columbidae
Description: partial uncharacterized LOC102093754
Source: RNAcentral
CUCACGUGACCACGUGGAUCCGAAGCAGAGCAGACCUGGCUCUGCUUUCCAUCCCACGCGUAGCCACAUCUGGGAAGCAAAUCAAAGAGGGGACACUGCACAGCGAGAGCCUGGGGAGCCUGCGGAACUGAAGGACCAAGGCAGCAGUUGCCUCUUUACCCGUCCUUUGCUUGGGUAGCUCUGCCGCCUCAUGUACUCAGCUGGGGAGGCGGCCAUGCCAGGCACCUGGCGCAGUUACAGAAAUCCUCUUAAUGCUGAAAACAAGUGCCUUGUUCUUGGAGCACCACAGAAGGGAAGAUGGCUCUUUCUGGGAGAGUUUUACCUGCAGUAAAGUGAAAAGAAAUAUGGUACCACGUACAACUAACACAAUGGCAUUACUACUACUGAUGCAAUAACAUCCAUAACUACCACUGCACUUCCGAUGACCUGCAUUUUGGUUAUGCCUG